Molecule: ribosomal RNA, 253 nt
Filed under: uncultured bacterium
Lineage: Bacteria
Description: partial 16S ribosomal RNA
Rfam family: Bacterial small subunit ribosomal RNA
Source: RNAcentral
UACGUAGGGACCAAGCGUUGUUCGGAUUUACUGGGCGUAAAGGGCGCGUAGGCGGUGCGGUAAGUCACUUGUGAAAUCUCUGAGCUUAACUCAGAACGGCCAAGUGAUACUGCAGUACUAGAGUGCGGAAGGGGCAAUCGGAAUUCUUGGUGUAGCGGUGAAAUGCGUAGAUAUCGAGAGGAACACCUGCGGCGAAGGCGGGUUGCUGGGCUGACACUGACGCUGAGGCGCGAAAGCCAGGGGAGCGAACGGG